UCCAAAGAAACUUUCUGAAGAAGCUGUGUGCUCGGAAGCUUAGCAGAGUCGGACCUGCUUAGUACUUGGAUGGGAGACCACCAGGGAAUACCAGGUGUCGUUUGGAG
Molecule: ribosomal RNA, 107 nt
Filed under: Amphilophus citrinellus (Midas cichlid)
Lineage: Eukaryota; Metazoa; Chordata; Actinopteri; Cichliformes; Cichlidae
Source: RNAcentral